AUACCGGGGUAUAGCCCAUGGAAACGUGGAUUAACACCCCAUAGUACUUUUAUCCUGCAUGGGAUGUGAGUUAAAUGUUCAAGGUAUCGGAUGGGCAUGCGUCCUAUUAGUUAGUUGGCGGGGUAACGGCCCACCAAGACGAUGAUAGGUAGGGGUUCUGAGAGGAAGGUCCCCCACAUUGGAACUGAGACACGGUCCAAACUCCUACGGGAGGCAGCAGUGAGGAAUAUUGGUCAAUGGACGAGAGUCUGAACCAGCCAAGUCGCGUGAGGGAAGACUGCCCUAUGGGUUGUAAACCUCUUUUAUAAGGGAAGAAUAAGUUCUACGUGUAGAAUGAUGCCUGUACCUUAUGAAUAAGCAUCGGCUAACUCCGUGCCAGCAGCCGCGGUAAUACGGAGGAUGCGAGCGUUAUCCGGAUUUAUUGGGUUUAAAGGGUGCGUAGGCGGUUUAUUAAGUUAGUGGUUAAAUAUUUGAGCUAAACUCAAUUGUGCCAUUAAUACUGGUAAACUGGAGUACAGACGAGGUAGGCGGAAUAAGUUAAGUAGCGGUGAAAUGCAUAGAUAUAACUUAGAACUCCGAUAGCGAAGGCAGCUUACCAGACUGUAACUGACGCUGAUGCACGAGAGCGUGGGUAGCGAACAGGAUUAGAUACCCUGGUAGUCCACGCCGUAAACGAUGCUCACUGGUUCUGUGCGAUAUAUUGUACGGGAUUAAGCGAAAGUAUUAAGUGAGCCACCUGGGGAGUACGUCGGCAACGAUGAAACUCAAAGGAAUUGACGGGGGCCCGCACAAGCGGAGGAACAUGUGGUUUAAUUCGAUGAUACGCGAGGAACCUUACCUGGGUUUAAAUGGGAAAUGUCGUAUUUGGAAACAGAUAUUCUCUUCGGAGCGUUUUUGAAGGUGCUGCAUGGUUGUCGUCAGCUCGUGCCGUGAGGUGUCGGGUUAAGUCCCAUAACGAGCGCAACCCUUACCGUUAGUUGCUAGCAGGUAAUGCUGAGCACUCUAACGGGACUGCCACCGUAAGGUGUGAGGAAGGUGGGGAUGACGUCAAAUCAGCACGG
Molecule: ribosomal RNA, 1061 nt
Filed under: human gut metagenome
Description: bacterial SSU rRNA
Rfam family: Bacterial small subunit ribosomal RNA
Source: RNAcentral